Molecule: long non-coding RNA, 775 nt
Filed under: Gossypium raimondii (Peruvian cotton)
Lineage: Eukaryota; Viridiplantae; Streptophyta; Magnoliopsida; Malvales; Malvaceae
Description: long non-coding RNA (GRAI_LNC004856)
Source: RNAcentral
UGAGGGACAUGAUCAUUGUGUUGCAUUCUAUAAGAAUGUUGUCUGAUUGGCAUUCAUUUCUAGAUGAAAUAUACUCUAAAAGGCACAAAGGGGGUGCCAUCCUAAACCCUAAAAUUUACUGAUCAAGAGUGACUGAAAAUUGUUGGAUGGAAUCAGUCUCUCUCAUCCCUUUGAAUUUGUUAUACAUGACUAGACCUGUCCAUGGGUCAGGGCCGCCUGGCUAGAAGGCCCGCCCGAGAAGUGAGAGGGUUUGGGUAAAAAUAUAGGCCCGAAAAAUGGGUUUAGGAAAAAAGGGGCCCAUUUAGAAAAUGGGCCGGGCCUUGGGUAAGGUUUUUUGGGCCUGAACCCGGCCCAAAUAUGCCCCAAAAAAAAAGCUGUUUUUUCUUUUUUACUGUUUUCUUGCUAUUUUCUUAUUGUUUCUUUUCACUAUUUUGCUACCUUUCACUAUUAUGUUGCUACUGUUUUGUUGUUAUUGUUUGGAUAUUGUAUAACUCUUGUUUUAUUGUUAAUUUUGUUACUAUUUUAGAGGCAUUUGCUUGUUAAGUAUACAUAUUUUUUUAAAAUUUUUUUUCAAUUUGUUGGAAUUUGUUGGGAAACAUUUAUUUUAAUGUUUUUAGUAUUUUUGAUGUAUUAUAUUUUUAAAAAAGAUAAUAUAAAAAAAUUAAUAUGGGCGGAACGGUCUUGGGCAAAAUUUUAGGCCCAUUUUUUUGGCAGGGUCUAACUUUUGGUUGGGCCCGGCCCAUGGACACCUCUAUACAUGACUGCGUUCCUUUUC